Molecule: ribosomal RNA, 428 nt
Filed under: uncultured bacterium
Lineage: Bacteria
Description: partial 16S ribosomal RNA
Rfam family: Bacterial small subunit ribosomal RNA
Source: RNAcentral
GUGGGGAAUAUUGGGCAAUGGGCGAAAGCCUGACCCAGCAACGCCGCGUGAGGGAAGAAGGCCUUCGGGUUGUAAACCUCUGUCCUUGGUGACGAAAAAAAUGACGGUAGCCAAGGAGGAAGCCCCGGCUAACUACGUGCCAGCAGCCGCGGUAAUACGUAGGGGGCGAGCGUUGUCCGGAAUUACUGGGCGUAAAGGGUGCGUAGGUGGCCUUUUAAGUUGGAUGUGAAAUACCCGGGCUUAACUUGGGGGGUGCAUCUAAUACUGGAGGGCUAGAGUGCAGGAGAGGGAAGCGGAAUUCCUAGUGUAGCGGUGAAAUGCGUAGAUAUUAGGAGGAACACCAGUGGCGAAGGCGGCUUUCUGGACUGUAACUGACACUGAGGCACGAAAGCGUGGGGAGCAAACAGGAUUAGAAACCCUUGUAGUCC